Molecule: non-coding RNA, 144 nt
Filed under: Legionella qingyii
Lineage: Bacteria; Pseudomonadati; Pseudomonadota; Gammaproteobacteria; Legionellales; Legionellaceae
Description: Legionella sp. km488 6S RNA
Rfam family: 6S / SsrS RNA
About the family: E. coli 6S RNA was the first non coding RNA to be sequenced, but its function was unknown until recently.
Source: RNAcentral
GACAGUACACAUUGUUCAGCCAACAUUAUUACUUUGGGAGCCAGAUUGAGAGUGCGGUGAGCAAGCUUAGCAAGUACUAAGAAGCCUUAAACACUCCAGAGGAGUCCACCUUGGUAAAAAAGGACUGUACUCAAUCUUACUGUC